Molecule: small RNA, 27 nt
Filed under: Bombyx mori (domestic silkworm)
Lineage: Eukaryota; Metazoa; Arthropoda; Insecta; Lepidoptera; Bombycidae
Description: ovarian small RNA-14529
Source: RNAcentral
CGGUUAAUAAAUGGGAGUGGUGCUUUC